GUGCCAGCCGCUGCGGUAAUACGUAGGUGGCAAGCGUUAUCCGGAAUUAUUGGGCGUAAAGCGCGCGUAGGCGGUUUUUUAAGUCUGAUGUGAAAGCCCACGGCUCAACCGUGGAGGGUCAUUGGAAACUGGAAAACUUGAGUGCGGAAGAGGAAAGUGGAAUUCCAUGUGUAGCGGUGAAAUGCGCAGAGAUAUGGAGGAACACCAGUGGCGAAGGCGACUUUCUGGUCUGUAACUGACGCUGAUGUGCGAAAGCGUGGGGAUCAAACAGGAUUAGA
This 278-nucleotide ribosomal RNA is filed under the name uncultured Staphylococcus sp. RNAcentral describes it as "partial 16S ribosomal RNA". It matches the Rfam family "Bacterial small subunit ribosomal RNA", at positions 505 to 782 of the family's 1533-position model. The record is from RNAcentral. Lineage: Bacteria; Bacillati; Bacillota; Bacilli; Caryophanales; Staphylococcaceae.